Molecule: long non-coding RNA, 688 nt
Organism: Triticum aestivum (bread wheat)
Lineage: Eukaryota; Viridiplantae; Streptophyta; Magnoliopsida; Poales; Poaceae
Exons: 3
Source: RefSeq, a predicted model, not a curated record
CAAAGGUUGCCGAAUAAUCUUGAGUGGAUUGCGUGCUAUACUUUCUUCCUCCUGCCAUUUCUUCCCUUAUCUCCCAAAAAUGGAUAUCUUCAGCCAUGGCAAAGAUUGAUCCAGGAAUCCGCCGGGGGUGCGUAGCCCAGUCGCUGCUAGUUCCAAUCCCACGCCCGGCGCCGACUGGCCUCCUCUCCCCACUCGCCGUUCCCCCAAAAUGAAGCCUUCGAUCCAGCCACUGGUCGUAUAUUUUGUUCCCUAUCCUUCAAUUUCUUAGCGAUAAAUCUUACAAAGCAACCACUAUGGGAUACAUCAGAUGUAUAUUAUGGUCAUGUCAUAGCUAUGAGACAGAUCAAGGCAUGAGUCGUGAGAUCCAAACUGCGGAUACUUAGUAAACUGAAGGUGGAAUUGCAGUCUCUGUGCAGAAGGCUGCCGGUGCUGAAGUUCAAAUCCAAAGAUACGCCAAGAUGCUUCACCUGCAGAUAGGUAUCGUGCAUCAAGGUACAUUUGUAUCUCGUCAUGGUUAUUUCUGCACCCAAAAUUACAGUUGCUCUGUCCUCUCCUUUGUGGAUAUACUUGAACAAAUACUUUAUGGAUCUUGAUUUAUUACACCAUUCCAUGUUUAUAUGGGGCUGUGGUAGAACCAGGGAUCCUACCGGGCCUGCUCCGUAGGUUGUAGGGGAAGGAUGGAGUAGGG